CCCUUAGACGUUCUGGGCCGCACGCGCGCUACACUGACCAGUGCAACAAGCAUCCGUCCUUGGCCGACAGGCCCGGGCAAUCUUUGAACGCUGGUCGUGAUGGGGAUAGACUUUUGCAAUUUUUGGUCUUCAACGAGGAAUUCCUAGUAAACGCAAGUCAUCAACUUGUAUUGAUUACGUCCCUGCCCUUUGUACACACCGCCCGUCGCACCUACCGAUUGAAUGGUCCGGUGAAGCCUCCGGAUUGGCGCGCACCUCGGUGCCGCCGAGAAGUUGGCUAAACCUUACCAUUUAGAGGAAGGUGAAGUCGUAACA
This 315-nucleotide ribosomal RNA is filed under the name uncultured eukaryote. RNAcentral describes it as "partial 18S ribosomal RNA". It matches the Rfam family "Eukaryotic small subunit ribosomal RNA", at positions 1470 to 1796 of the family's 1831-position model. The record is from RNAcentral.